UCUGCGUCUCAGGAGGCUGGUGGUUAACAAACGGGUCCAUGACUUUGCAGAGCCAGACAAGUCGUCCCACAUCCGGAGUCUUGUUGUUCUCAACCUGUGGCCAUCCUUUGUAAAACUUGUACUCUGACGAUGAACCUAGACAUUUAAGUGGAAAAUGCAACGUGUCCAAUUAAAAACACAAAGAUUUUAUUAAGGUUGAAUGUGAUGCUGGCCUCUUUUUUUUUUUUUUUUUUUUACAAUGUCAUAUUUUGUCUCAUUGUUUCAUCUACAUCCAAUAAUAUUUUCAUGGUCAGUCUUUCAAUAGGACAUUAACACUCCUUCAUGUAUACAGGUUUGUUCCCAGCCUCUGCAGUGAAGGGAAGUAGAAUUUAUUCAAGGUCUAAGCACUUUAGUCUGCCCAAAUAAAUAAAAAAAUACAUUCAGAAAUAUAUAGAACAUUUUAUCAGCUGUAUUUUUCUCUAUUAUAUUUCUCUUUAUAUUUCUUUCUAAUAUUCUUCUGUGUCAUGGUUUGUUAUAGAACCUACAGAAACAAUUCUGCUAUCAACUGAAUAUUUUGUUACUGGUAAACAUCCAUUCCUUCCAUUUAAACGUUAACCCAGUAACCCCAGUAGAAGUCCAACACAGACCCACACACACAGCUGUGUGUGUGGGUCUGUGUGUGUGUGUGUGUGUGCAGCUUCACACCUUAAUCACGUUAUUCUAUCAAUUACUGGCUCACAUUUGUGGGCAUCAGACUCCAGUUCUUUACACGUGUGUGUCAAAUAUCACAUGAUAUUUGUGUGAUCAGAUCACAGAGGGAUGUUUCUGGCUCCACCUGCCAACCUUUCCCCCCCCCCCUUCUUGACACAACAUGUGAGUUUCCACCACAUGUAAUAUCCACCAUGAGCAACUAAAGGGGCUGUAGAAAAACCACCGGGUCACACCACAUCCACCGCCGCGGUCAUGACGAUGCUUCUCUGUGCUCUACUGAUAAUCUGGGUUAGAACACAACAACUCCGCCCACGCUGGCAUCAGACCACACUGAGCGUCAGUGCUUUUGAAAAAUGGCUGCAAAGCUGUAUGUGAAGACUGGCCAGUGUUAAUCCUCCCUGGUAUGGGUUUCACAGUGUUAAUAUAAAAGCAUUAGUUUAGUCAAAUAAAAUAAAGUUCUUUGGUCAUCGAUUUUAUGUGUCAAACACAUGGCUCGUGUGCCAAAUGUGGCCCGCCAAGUCAUCUCAUACAGUAUUUUUACAGUCGUACAGAUCUACAAUGAUAUUCAGAGUCAUUACAAACUCUGUCCCUAGGUGGUAUCAGUUGAUGAAAAUCUUUUAUUUUUGUCUUUCUUCAAUUCUUUCGACUAUAUCAGUAUUUUGUUCAACUAAACAGGCCCUGGUUUACACACAGAGUAAAUAUGUACAUUGUGAGUUUAGUUUUAUGCUAUUAUUUAAAUGUAUCUGACCAGGAAAUUAGGACUGUACGUCUCUUUAACAGUGUCAUAUAAAAGCUGCAGCACUAAGUCACACCCAAUCUACACAGGGCAAUUUUAAAACAGGACAAAGUGAAACUGAAAUUACAAAACACAAGGUUAUCAGUCAAAACACUCACAGCCUGGAAACAUUUAAGUUGACCUGCUCCCUGUGUUAAAGAACCUUGCUGUACUCCAUGUAAUACUAAGCUCUAUAAAUAAUUCAUAUAUUUUAGUAGCUAUUUUCAACAUGUGCGUCGUACAGUGCAGUGCCUGAGGGGGUGCGCGGCGAUUGGAGCGUCCUCUGCCUUCAUUUGUCCAUUUAAUACAAAAUGUUUUAUUUAUAUUCACGUGUAUUUAAAGAAAUUGUAGUGGUCCCAGAAUCCAUGUUGAAGGCCUCUGACCUAUAUCGUGUAAAAGCCCACUGUUUAAAAUGUGCAUCUUGCUUCUGUUGUUGUAUUCGUGAAAAAUGCUGCCACCUAGAGGCCAAAUACUGACAACAGUCAUCUUUUCUGGCGUUCAGCUGAAAAAUGUCAAAUGUAAAAAAUGAAGAAAUAAUAAUAAUAAUAAUAAUAAUAAUAAUAAUAAUAAUAAUGGAGAGAGAGAAAAAAACAUGUAAUGAAACACCAAAAUUAACCAGUACCAGAAGUAGAUAGCAUUGAAGAUGUGGGUGUACAAUUUUAUAAAAAACUUUUUUUUUUUAAUCUUUGCUGUGUCUGUAGUUCUAUUACUGUGUGGUCUGUCUGUCUCACUGCUCUCCUGUCUGUCUGCUGUGUUCAUCAGUGUCAUCACACUCACCUGUGUCCUGUCAUCAGUCUCACUGGUGUCCUGGGUAUAAACACCUCUGCCCAUCACUUCUUCAGGUUGUUGGACUUCAUUGUUUCAUUGAAGGUCCUUCUCUGCUGUGAAUGAAGAACCGUUACUAGUGCUGAAUUUUUGGGAGAGGUUGAUCUUCGUCGAGAACACUGCUCCACUCCACAGGCAGCUGCAGAGGAAACGCUCUCUGCUGGGUCCCAACACCCACACCUGCAACCGGAUACUGUACCCCCACCACCUCCCCCGAUGUUCAACAACUGCAGUGGCAUCAGCAGCAGCCACAGCAGCAGCAGAGGAACAUACGUGUACAUAGGAUUCUGCUCUGAUAGUCAGGUCAGUUUCAUCUUGGCAUUUUCACUGUCUCAUUUCCAGCUCAGUUCAGUUUCUGAUUUUGGAGGUGUGCACAAUACAGUUAGGAGAUGUAGAAAAAAACACAAUGUUCUCAGGAUCCUGUGUUUCCUGACGAAGAUGUCAAUCAGCCCUUUCAGGUCCACCCUUGGAUUCCACUCAGAGGGGAAAUGCCUCGCUAAUGUCCAGCCCUGCCCGGCUCCUCUACGCACUGAGACGUCUGCUUGUCUCGUCCCCUUUAAUCUCUGACACAGAUUUUUCAAGAUAACAGGCUGUAAAUCCAUCGCUGAUUGAAUUCAAGUAGAAAGGGUCAUUUCCAAGGCAUUGAUCUCCUGCUUAAUAAACAGACUCCAUGGAGCCUCCAUUGCAUUAGUGAAACACACACACAGAGCAGAGAUAACCUGGCUUAGAAUAAACCCACUUCCACUCAUAUCAAGACAGGAAUCACAGUGAAAUGCUUUGUCAAUAGCUGCAGUAGGUGAAGCAGCCGGUGUGUACGUCAGAGGCCUCGCUUCGACCUGACCUUUUUAUGAACAUGUUGCUUUAACUAAAAAUCUGAGGUAUUAACAGUGUCUCACACAGGUGGACCUAAACAAGGAACUGUCCCAAUCAGCAACAUUCCCACUAUUCCGACCAGUCACUGCUGUCGAGAUGCAGCAGUGACCAUUAGCACAGUGACAACCUACAGUACUGGAUGACUCAGACGACAAAGUGCAUUUAGACUCUCAAGGAAUGUCGUUGUAAUGUGCGUCAGAAGAACUUGUGAUGAAAAGAAGAAGAAAGAACCAGAAGGAAGUAAAUGGUUGGAAUCGGUUAUAAAACAAGAAAUGAAGAGUUUCAGACCAACUUCACUGGCCUAGAAUUCAGUCUUUCAACCACACAGUUGUUCACCAGAAGAAGAAGAAUCUUUUUUUUACUGUACGUAUACACACACAUUUACACACAAUUAAAUUUGUCCUCCACAUUGAACCCAUCGACCCAUUCCUGGGGUGCAGUGAUCACUGGAAAUGCCCAGGGUUGUCACAUCCUCUGUUUCACACACUCCAGUCCAGGUCCAGUUUUCUAAUCAAUAUAUCUGAUAGACUUGUUAUUGAUCAUUCCUGUCUGGAGGACAAGAUUUAAUAGAUUUAUUUUUCAACCUGGGUUCAAGUACCCGCCUAUAAAAAAGGUCACAAAAUAAUGGUCGAAAGUCAUUCAUUUUACUCUUGGACAUUUUUCUAUCAAUAUUGUUUUGAAGUUCAACUUUGGUUUCCUUCUGUUUUUAUUAGAUUUUUGUAGCAGAGAGAGGAUUGGUGCAUGAGCAAGGCAGUGAUAAACCAACGAUCAACUGCCUUAAGCUUUGUGCCCAUGUACUGUAUGUGCCCAACCCACUAAUUUGAAAUCAAUUGUCAUGGAUGACUUGUUGUCAGUGACUGUUCUCUAACUCGUUUGAUUAUAUUAAUAAGAAAUAUAACAGUCUUCAAAGGUCUGUUGGAUUUAAACCUUUCACCCAGUUUUGUCAUACACUCUGAUAAGAAUGGCAAAAAAUCUCCUUGUUGGGUUUCAUCGGGCCUUAAAUCAGGUCAAAUGUCCUCCUGUGUGGGGCACGUAUGACUAACAGUUUUUAAUGUCAUGUGAACUGAUUUUUAUGGCUUCAUCAGUAUUACCACCCCUAUUCCGCUUUUACUUCAGAACCGCCCACUCCCCCACAGACCGGCCUUAUCAAGCAACAUCAGGACUUCCUGAUCAAAGCAAAGGAGUUGUACAGAUAAAAUUAAAUGGGAUACUUUUGUCCAAAAAAAAAGGAAGGAAAGAAGAAAGGAAAGGGGGGAGGAAGAAAGGAAGGACAGAAAAGAUUACGGCCCUCAACAAAAUGGGAAUGUGUCUCUUCACAGUUAACUUAGGUGGAGUUCAAUCUGAAGGGAAAUCACAAGACAAGAAACUGAAACUCAAACCUCCCACAUUGUGCACUUUCUGUGUCACUUAUUUGAGGAAGCAGACAAUGUGUGAGUCACUUCCCUGGUUCUGUUAAGCCAUGGCAUAGUAAGGAGGUAAAGUGUCAAAACCAAUGACCGUCAACAAUGGACCACUGUGUAGGUUUGUAAAAAUGUUUAUAACAAUAGCACCAUGACUGAUUUACCUCAAUGACAAUUCAGCAGUUCAUUAAAAUCCUAACAUAUGGGUUC
This is a long non-coding RNA of Cynoglossus semilaevis (tongue sole), 4773 nucleotides long. RefSeq lists it as uncharacterized. The transcript is spliced from 4 exons. The record is from RefSeq and is a predicted model, not a curated record. NCBI's taxonomy places the organism in Eukaryota, Metazoa, Chordata, Actinopteri, Pleuronectiformes, Cynoglossidae.